This 22-nucleotide non-coding RNA is filed under the name Arabidopsis thaliana (thale cress). The record is from RNAcentral. Lineage: Eukaryota; Viridiplantae; Streptophyta; Magnoliopsida; Brassicales; Brassicaceae.
CUCAGGUUAGUUAGAUCAGUGA